RNAcentral lists this ribosomal RNA (535 nucleotides) under uncultured Mycobacterium sp. RNAcentral's name for it is "bacterial SSU rRNA". It matches the Rfam family "Bacterial small subunit ribosomal RNA", at positions 54 to 606 of the family's 1533-position model. The record is from RNAcentral. Lineage: Bacteria; Bacillati; Actinomycetota; Actinomycetes; Mycobacteriales; Mycobacteriaceae.
CAUGCAAGUCGAACGGAAAGGCCCUUCGGGGUACUCGAGUGGCGAACGGGUGAGUAACACGUGGGUGAUCUGCCCUGCACUUUGGGAUAAGCCUGGGAAACUGGGUCUAAUACCGGAUAGGACUCUUGGCUGCAUGGCUGGGAGUGGAAAGCUUUUGCGGUGUGGGAUGGGCCCGCGGCCUAUCAGCUUGUUGGUGGGGUGAUGGCCUACCAAGGCGACGACGGGUAGCCGGCCUGAGAGGGUGUCCGGCCACACUGGGACUGAGAUACGGCCCAGACUCCUACGGGAGGCAGCAGUGGGGAAUAUUGCACAAUGGGCGCAAGCCUGAUGCAGCGACGCCGCGUGGGGGAUGACGGCCUUCGGGUUGUAAACCUCUUUCAGCUCCGACGAAGCGCAAGUGACGGUAGGAGCAGAAGAAGCACCGGCCAACUACGUGCCAGCAGCCGCGGUAAUACGUAGGGUGCGAGCGUUGUCCGGAAUUACUGGGCGUAAAGAGCUCGUAGGUGGUUUGUCGCGUUGUUCGUGAAAACUCACA